This 1216-nucleotide long non-coding RNA is filed under the name Vigna radiata. Its description in RNAcentral is "long non-coding RNA (VRAD_LNC000777)". The record is from RNAcentral. Lineage: Eukaryota; Viridiplantae; Streptophyta; Magnoliopsida; Fabales; Fabaceae.
CAAGUUCCACUUUUCUGUAAAGCACUUAAUUCAUCCAGCAUGACUUGACGCCAGCCAGGAUGAAUUAAGGCAUCACCCACAGGCUUGGGAAUUGACAUUGAAGAAAUAGAUGAGAGACAUGUGUAAAAAGAUGGAGAUAAUCUGUGGUAAUUAAGAACAAUAUAAUGGGGGGAAGGGUUACGAGUGGAGCCUAUACCUGUAGGGAGGGCAAUGGGCAGGUCAGACUCAUUUGCUGGAGCCAGAGGAGACACAGGAGGCGGCACUGGAAGUGAGUCAUGAGGGAGACGAUUGCAGCGACUAUAAACCUAAAGGGGUGGAGUUGAAGGAUGAUCCUGUGGGGGAAUAAGAGUCUAAGGAAGGAGAAGGAUGACAGAAAAAAGGAAUAUCAACAGUAGCAGGUGGAGGUACAGAUGUAGAAGAUAAAUGUGAAAAGUAAAACGAAGAUUCAUCAAAAGUGACAUCAAUAGAGAUGAAAUGACGAUUGAGGGAAGGGGAAAAACACUUAUAGCCCUUUUGUGAAUGUGGAAAUCCUAUGAAGACACAUUUGUGAGAUCUAGGAGAUAACUUAUCAAGACCAAAACUAAAAUCAUGAACAAAACAUGUAGGCCCAAAAAUUUUAAGAGGUAAUGGAUGUAAAGGGUCUUAAGGAAAUAAGAUAGAAUGAGGGAUUUUGUUAUCUAGGACAGAAGACGACAUGUGGUUUAUGAGAUAACAUGCAGUGAGAACUGCGUCACCCCAAAAACACGACGGUACUUGACCAUGGAUUAGAAGUGUACGAGUUGUUUCAAUAAGGUGUCUAUUCUUGCGCUCUGCCACCCUAUUUUGUUGAGGGGUAUAGGCACAUGAGGUCUGGUGAAGAAUGCCAUGAGAAGCCAUAAAAUGUUUAAACAGUUGAGAAAGGUAUUCACGACCAUUAUCACUGCUAAGUGCAAAUAGAAACCCCAAACUCAGUUUUUAUUUCAUUGAAAAAUGAUUGGAAAAUAGAAAAUAACUCAGAACGAUUCUUCAUUAGAAACAACCAAGUACAUCUGGAAUAGUCAUCAAUAAAGGUAACAAAAUACUGAAAUCCUAAAGUUGAUUUAACAUGACUAGGUUCCCAAAUAUCAGAAUGAACCAAUGAAAAGGGGGAUGACGCUCGUUGUGAAACACUACAAGGAAAGGAACUACGAGUAUAUUUACCUAACUGAUAAGAUUCACACGACAAACUUGAUAAUUU